GAUCCUUCUACAGGGUUCUGUAUAGAUUUCCAAAAAUAGACUUGAAUCCCAGGAAAUAUUUUGGACCUGGGGCAAACAGCUGAUACAUCUUAGUCAUGUACCUUAGAAGCCAGAAUGGAAAGGCGGCAUCCUUAUGUUUAAAUUUGCACACUUACCUUGAAGCAUCAAGCUCUAUCUGAACAUAUGAAAUUCAGACCACUAUUAGUUUGCUGUUCAUAAUGUCUUUUUGUUCCUAGUUUGGAGUUCAUAAUGUCUUUUUUCCAAGUGUUUAUUAUUGUUCCCCAAGAACCUAUAAUCUCAGGUGUUAUAAUGAGGGCAUCCCUACUGGGGAGCAGUUUUUAAAGAUCUUGUUCCUCUCCAGAACGUAUUCCCACACUUGAUAUGUCUCAACUUCUCAGGAAACAAGUUCUGCAACCUCACUUUCUGAUGAUCCCCAUGGGGACCCACAUCCAUGCAGUGAUUUUUCCACAGUUUAUUUUUUCAAGACCUGACAGAAGUCUGUGCAACUGGGGUAAGAAGUUACAGGAUCUUCAAAUCUCCAUGUCCUGAUCCCGUUUUAGAAGUUUUGGUUACUACUAGGUCCCAUGAUCCUAGCUUCAUGUGUUCUUUUCCAAAUGUAGCUACAUGCAAGAGUUCUUAAGUGUCCUGCUCAUCUCCUACCCAUCAACACAAGUUCUUCCCAGUCAUCUCCCAAUAUUUCUCCUCACAAUGUCACAAGACACACCCAUUCUGUAUCCCCCACAUGACCCUGUAAUUUUCCUAUUUUCCUACAGUGGAUGUCAUGCUGAAUCCAGCCAAUGUUAUUUCUGUUGUUAUCAUGUUUGAAGAUCAGAUACAAGUGACACUUACAUUUUAAGAUUUUUUAAAAUGUACAUCCACAUGAUUUCUCUGCUUUUGACGUCUUAGGCCACCAAAGUUUCCUCUCAGGGAAAUAUUACUGGGAGGUAGAAAUGUCUAGGAAGAUUGCCUGGAUCCUCGGGGUAUGAAGUAAAACAAGUAACCAAUAGAAAUGAGAUCUCUGGGUUUAUUUUUGGCCAAAAAGUUAAUCAUCCAAAUUUUUAUUCCAGAUACAGACCUCAAUAUGGCUACUGGGUUAUAGGGUUACAGAAUGAAUUUGAGUACAAUGCCUUUGAGGACUCUUCCAGCUCCUAUCCCCAGGUUUUGACUCUCCAUGGCUGUUCCUCCCGGGCUCAUUGUUUUUUUCCUAGACUAUGAAGCAAG
RNAcentral lists this long non-coding RNA (1221 nucleotides) under Equus caballus (horse). RNAcentral describes it as "lncRNA (ENSECAG00000054807.1)". The record is from RNAcentral. Lineage: Eukaryota; Metazoa; Chordata; Mammalia; Perissodactyla; Equidae.